Molecule: ribosomal RNA, 468 nt
Filed under: uncultured bacterium
Lineage: Bacteria
Description: partial 16S ribosomal RNA
Rfam family: Bacterial small subunit ribosomal RNA
Source: RNAcentral
GACGAACGCUGGCGGCGUGCUUAACACAUGCAAGUCGAACGGAAAGGCCCUGCUUUGGUUGCGUGCGCGAGUGACGAACGGGUGAGUAACACGUGAGUAACCUGCCAUUGACUUUGAGCUAACUUCAGGAAACUGGGGCUAAUAACGGAUAGGAGCUCCGGCUGCAUGGUGGGGGUAGGAAAGUUUCGGCGGUGGGGGAUGGACUCGCGGCUUAUCAGUUUGUUGGUGGGGUAGUGGCUUACCAAGGCUUUGACGGGUAGCCGGCCGGGGGGGUGGACCGGCAACAUGGGACCUGGGUACCGGCCCGACCUCCACCGGGAGGCAGCAGUGGGAAAUUUUGCACAAUGGGCGGAAGCCUGAUGCAGCAACGCCGCGGGCGGAAUGCCGGCCUUGGGGUGGUAAACGGCUUUCGCCGGUGACGAAGUGUGUGUGACGGUAAUUGGUGAAGAAGCACCGGCUAACUACGUG